RNAcentral lists this ribosomal RNA (472 nucleotides) under uncultured bacterium. RNAcentral describes it as "bacterial SSU rRNA". It matches the Rfam family "Bacterial small subunit ribosomal RNA", at positions 355 to 825 of the family's 1533-position model. The record is from RNAcentral.
UCGGGAAUUUUGGGCAAUGGGGGCAACCCUGAUCCAGCCAUGCCGCGUGAGUGAAGAAGGCCUUCGGGUUGUAAAGCUCUUUCGGACGGAACGAAAUGGUCAGGGUGAAUAUCCCUGACUGAUGACGGUACUGUAAGAAGAAGCACCGGCUAACUACGUGCCAGCAGCCGCGGUAAUACGUAGGGUGCGAGCGUUAAUCGGAAUUACUGGGCGUAAAGGGCGCGUAGGCGGCAAUUCAAGUCAUCUGUGAAAUCUCCGGGCUUAACUCGGAACGGUCAACUGAUACUGUCACACUAGAGUACAGAAGGGGCAAUCGGAAUUCUUGGUGUAGCGGUGAAAUGCGUAGAUAUCAAGAGGAACACCUGAGGCGAAGGCGGGUUGCUGGGCUGAUACUGACGCUGAGGCGCGAAAGCUAGGGUAGCAAACGGGAUUAGAUACCCCGGUAGUCCCUGAGCGGGCUGGCAAGGCGCAU